AGAGUUGAUCAUGGACUCAGAACGAACGCUGGCGGCGCGUUUAAGCAUGCAAGUCGAGCGGCAGGGCCUCGGGCCCCUAGAGCGGCGGACGGGUGAGUAACACGUGGACAAUCUGCCCCCCGGCCCGGGAUAGCCCAGGGAAACCUGGAUAAUACCGGAUGAGACGGGACCCGCGAUGGCGGGACCCGGGAAAGGCGCUGCGGCGCCGCCGGGGGAUGAGUCUGCGUCCCAUUAGCUAGACGGCGGGGUAACGGCCCACCGUGGCGACGAUGGGUAGCCGGCCUGAGAGGGUGGACGGCCACAUUGGAACUGAGACACGGUCCAGACUCCUACGGGAGGCAGCAGCUAAGAAUCUUCCGCAAGUGGGACGAAAGCCUGACGGAGCGACGCCCGCGUGAACGAAGAAGGCCGUGAGGUUGUAAAGUUCUUUCGGGAGGGGGAACAACCGUGGCAGGGAAUGGCCGCGGGAUGACGUGAAUCCCGGAAUAAGCCCCGGCUAACUACGUGCCAGCAGCCGC
Molecule: ribosomal RNA, 518 nt
Filed under: uncultured bacterium
Lineage: Bacteria
Description: bacterial SSU rRNA
Rfam family: Bacterial small subunit ribosomal RNA
Source: RNAcentral